UAAGGUUCUUACAGAUCCAUCCCUAUCUCCUAAAAAAACAUUUAAAAAAAAAAACACAGGAAGAGGUUGUUGCCAGGAGUGCAUGAAUACUUGCGACAACGCACAUCUACUCGACACCCUCUUAAAGAUAGCCAUUACAAAGCCAGUCCUGACAUAGGGAACUUCAAAUCUGCUGGCUGGAGUUAAUUGAGCUUGCUUAAAAUCUGACGCCUUUAUGAUCUCAGACCUUCCACUGGGCAAGGAGUAAUGUGGCUGUAGCCUGU
RNAcentral lists this long non-coding RNA (263 nucleotides) under Populus tremula. RNAcentral's name for it is "long non-coding RNA (PTRE_LNC002603)". Lineage: Eukaryota; Viridiplantae; Streptophyta; Magnoliopsida; Malpighiales; Salicaceae. The record is from RNAcentral.